GGUUGUUAUGGGCUUAAAAACCCACCGAUUCAGAAUUGAAGCCCGAAGCAUGUUAGGGUUACUUCCCUUGUUCGCUAUAUAAAACACUGAAACCCUUCUCUUCAUUGUUACUACAACAACGAGGGUUUGUUCUGAGAUUGUGAGAGAAUCAUGAGGGCUAAGUGUUGUUUUGUAUAUACAGUGGAAGAAGAAGCGUAUGAGGAGACUUAAGAGGAAGCGCCGAAAGAUGAGACAAAGAUCCAAGUAGUUUUUGUUUCUGUUCCUUAGCAACAAUAACUAUCUAUCUUAGUUUUGUUCUUCGUAUUCUGUUGUUUUUUUGUUUAAUGUUAUGAACUUAUGAUACAAUUUAUGUGUCUUUUUUGGAACUUGCCUACCUCAGUUAUGAAAUGUUGUUUCUGUUUCAGAUUGAAUUUCGUUUCUAUUUGAGUUUAUUUAAUUUUGUUAAUUAUAAUUUAUAUUUUUUAGAUUAUGGAUCAAACCUACUGCAUGAUUAAUUACUUUUAGGUCACAUAAUCCUAAAUUCUAAUGUUCUAAAAUUGUUUGUACAA
Non-coding RNA from Lupinus albus (white lupine), 548 nucleotides. NCBI's taxonomy places the organism in Eukaryota, Viridiplantae, Streptophyta, Magnoliopsida, Fabales, Fabaceae. The record is from the annotation of a GenBank genome assembly.